Molecule: ribosomal RNA, 497 nt
Filed under: uncultured bacterium
Lineage: Bacteria
Description: partial 16S ribosomal RNA
Rfam family: Bacterial small subunit ribosomal RNA
Source: RNAcentral
GAUGAACGCUGGCGGCGUGCCUAAUACAUGCAAGUCGAGCGAACAGACGAGGAGCUUGCUCCUCUGACGUUAGCGGCGGACGGGUGAGUAACACGUGGAUAACCUACCUAUAAGACUGGGAUAACUUCGGGAAACCGGAGCUAAUACCGGAUAAUAUAUUGAACCGCAUGGUUCAAUAGUGAAAGACGGUUUUGCUGUCACUUAUAGAUGGAUCCGCGCCGCAUUAGCUAGUUGGUAAGGUAACGGCUUACCAAGGCGACGAUGCGUAGCCGACCUGAGAGAGUGAUCGGCCACACUGGAACUGAGACACGGUCCAGACUCCUACGGGAGGCCGCAGCAGGGAAUCUUCCGCAAUGGGCGAAAGCCUGACGGAGCAACGCCGCGUGAGCGAUGAAGGUCUUCGGAUCGUAAAACCCUGUUAUUAGGGAAGAACAAAUGUGUAAGUAACUAUGCACGUAUUGACGGUACCUACUCAGAAAGCCACGGCUAACUACGUG